GGACGAACGCUGGCGGCGUGCUUAACACAUGCAAGUCGAACGGAAAGGCCCUGCUUUUGUGGGGUGCUCGAGUGGCGAACGGGUGAGUAACACGUGAGUAACCUGCCCUUGACUUUGGGAUAACUUCAGGAAACUGGGGCUAAUACCGGAUAGGAGCUCCUGCUGCAUGGGGGGGGUUGGAAAGUUUCGGCGGUUGGGGAUGGACUCGCGGCUUAUCAGCUUGUUGGUGGGGUAGUGGCUUACCAAGGCUGUGACGGGUAGCCGGCCUGAGAGGGUGACCGGCCACCUUGGGACUGAGAUACGGACCAGAAUCCUACGGGAGGCAGCAGUGGGGAAUAUUGCACAAUGGGCGGAAGCCUGAUGCAGCAACGCCGCGUGCGGGAUGACGGCCUUCGGGUUGUAAACCGCUUUCGCCUGUGACGAAGCGUGAGUGACGGUAAUGGGUAAAGAAGCACCGGCUAACUACGUG
Molecule: ribosomal RNA, 469 nt
Filed under: uncultured bacterium
Lineage: Bacteria
Description: partial 16S ribosomal RNA
Rfam family: Bacterial small subunit ribosomal RNA
Source: RNAcentral